CAGACACAGACGUGCAGCUAGGCCCC
This 26-nucleotide non-coding RNA is filed under the name Mus musculus (house mouse). Lineage: Eukaryota; Metazoa; Chordata; Mammalia; Rodentia; Muridae. The record is from RNAcentral.